Long non-coding RNA from Macrobrachium nipponense, 908 nucleotides. RefSeq lists it as uncharacterized. NCBI's taxonomy places the organism in Eukaryota, Metazoa, Arthropoda, Malacostraca, Decapoda, Palaemonidae. The transcript has 4 exons. The record is from RefSeq and is a predicted model, not a curated record.
GUCACCGGGCCGCACGGCCGCCCCUUACUUUCCGUGUACAUCGUUGACAGUACCUUCGGUUACCUGUCAGUGUUUAAUUUUUUUAAUGUGCUCUGUUUAAUGGAUCUCCUGUAGCGAGAACUUUUAAGACUAACGCCGUUAAAAGUAAUCAAGAGCCAUAGCAGUCAUCAUUUAGAAGAUAGAAAAUGGUGAUUUCGCCCUGGCACCGUUCGUUGUCUCCCGGGAGCAAAGUACAUUCGUUAAUUUCAUUCGUACUCCAUCCUAUCGGAGAGGCCAAUGCUUUAAAAGGACGUCCAGGAACAUGUGAAAGUGAGGUACCAUCUGCCUUUUUGUUCGCACUGAAGGAAAUUCUUUACGAAAUUUGAGAUGUAUAGUGGAAAGUAUAUGCAAAAAUAUGGACCCCUUUAAGCAUACAUUUUCCAUUUUUUGUAUGGAUUAAUCAUUUAAGCUCUAUUUACUUUUUUGUUUUUUAAAAGUGCCAUUAUAUUCGACGAGAUCUUACUUCUUCAGGUAGAAUGUACAGUUUCUUCAAUAAUGAAAUGGUUAUGCUAUUAUUGUUAUAUUUUAUUGAAACAAGCGUUUUCUUAGAAGUGAGGAAAUAACUGCUGGUAGAUUAUUUCUCUGUGUAAUAAAAUAUUAUAAUUUUAAAUCUUAAAAUUGUAUUGAAUAUUUUGUAACAUGCAGGCUACAGUGAAGACCCGACUCUUUGGAAUGGAUGUGGCUUAAAAAUUUCAUAGCAGAAGUAGAGAGACUUUUAGUGUGUUUACGACAAUAUUUUCUUAAUCAUUGCCGAUGCAAUUUUGUGUUCUUCCAAUGAGCAGAAGGUAAUCUUUCGCCACGUGAUAAAUUUCUUUCUGUUUUUCUUUUGUAAACUUCCUUUCUCUCUUGUUACCUUUACGAAGCUUAAG